Molecule: ribosomal RNA, 933 nt
Filed under: Bacteroidetes bacterium enrichment culture clone L35B_121
Lineage: Bacteria; Pseudomonadati; Bacteroidota
Description: bacterial SSU rRNA
Rfam family: Bacterial small subunit ribosomal RNA
Source: RNAcentral
AGAGUUUGAUCAUGGCUCAGAACUAACGCUAGCGGCGUGCCUAACACAUGCAAGUCUUACGAGAAAGUCCCCUUCGGGGGAUGAGUAAAGUGGCGCACGGGUGAGUAACACGUGGAUAAUCUACCCUUCAGUCGGGAAUAACUCAUCGAAAGAUGGGAUAAUACGCGAUGACGCCUCUCCGUUCCGGCGGAGCGGCCAAAGGUGGCCUCUCUAUAGAAGCUGCCGCUGAGGGAUGAGUUCGCGCACCAUUAGCUUGUUGGUGGGGUAAUGGCCUACCAAGGCGACGAUGGUUAGCUGGUCUUAGAGGACGACCAGCCACACUGGAACUGGAACACGGUCCAGACUCCUACGGGAGGCAGCAGUGAGGAAUUUUGCGCAAUGGGGGAAACCCUGACGCAGCAACGCCGCGUGAGUGAGGAAGGCCCUCGGGUCGUAAAGCUCUGUCAGGCGGGAAGAAAUGUUCGCAGGCUAAUAUCCUGCGUUCUUGACGGUACCGCCAGAGGAAGCACCGGCAAACUCCGUGCCAGCAGCCGCGGUAAUACGGGGGGUGCAAGCGUUGUUCGGAAUUAUUGGGCGUAAAGAGCGUGUAGGCGGCCAGGUAUGUCAGAUGUGAAAGCCCCGGGCUCAACCCGGGAAGUGCAUUUGAAACUGCCUGGCUGGAGUAAGAGAGAGGAAAGUGGAAUUCCUGGUGUAGAGGUGAAAUUCGUAGAUAUCAGGAGGAACACCGGUGGCGAAGGCGGCUUUCUGGCUCUAUACUGACGCUGAGGCGCGAAAGCGUGGGUAGCAAACAGGAUUAGAUACCCUGGUAGUCCACGCUGUAAACGAUGUUCACUAGGUGUUGGGGGUAUUGACCCCCUCAGUGCCGCAGCUAACGCAUUAAGUGAACCGCCUGGGGAGUACGGUCGCAAGACUAAAACUCAAAUGAAUUGACGG